RNAcentral lists this ribosomal RNA (523 nucleotides) under uncultured bacterium. RNAcentral's name for it is "bacterial SSU rRNA". It matches the Rfam family "Bacterial small subunit ribosomal RNA", at positions 338 to 871 of the family's 1533-position model. The record is from RNAcentral.
CCUACGGGAGGCAGCAGUGGGGAAUAUUGCGCAAUGGGCGAAAGCCUGACGCAGCAACGCCGCGUGAGGGAUGACGGCCUUCGGGUUGUAAACCUCUUUCAGCAGGGACGAAGCGAAAGUGACUGUACCUGCAGAAGAAGCGCCGGCUAACUACGUGCCAGCAGCCGCGGUAAUACGUAGGGCGCAAGCGUUGUCCGGAUUCAUUGGGCGUAAAGAGCUCGUAGGCGGUCUGUCGCGUCGGAUGUGAAAACCCGGAGCUCAACUCCGGGCCUGCAUUCGAUACGGGCAGACUAGAGUACUGCAGGGGAGACUGGAAUUCCUGGUGUAGCGGUGGAAUGCGCAGAUAUCAGGAGGAACACCGGUGGCGAAGGCGGGUCUCUGGGCAGAAACUGACGCUGAGGAGCGAAAGCGUGGGGAGCGAACAGGAUUAGAUACCCUGGUAGUCCACGCCGUAAACGGUGGGCACUAGGUGUGGGGACCAUUCCACGGUCUCUGCGCCGCAGCUAACGCAUUAAGUGCCCCC